CUGGCAGUAAACGGUGCACGUUUGGUAUGGGCGCAAUCGACCGCGCCCGUGCCGGAGCUAACGCGUUAAACGUGCCGCCUGGGAAGUACGGUCGCAAGAUUAAAACUCAAAGAAAUUGACGGGGACCCGCACAAGCGGUGGAGUAUGUGGCUUAAUUCGAUGCAACGCGAAGAACCUUACCUGGUCUUGACAUGCAUUGUGUCUCUGGUGAAAGCCAGAUAGGGUAGCAAUACCCGCUUUGCACAGGUGC
Molecule: ribosomal RNA, 250 nt
Filed under: uncultured bacterium
Lineage: Bacteria
Description: partial 16S ribosomal RNA
Rfam family: Bacterial small subunit ribosomal RNA
Source: RNAcentral